This 63-nucleotide non-coding RNA is filed under the name Thiomonas delicata. RNAcentral's name for it is "Betaproteobacteria toxic small RNA". It matches the Rfam family "Betaproteobacteria toxic small RNA". Rfam says of the family: Overexpression in amino aid rich medium attenuates growth, suggesting role in repressing amino acid intake and metabolism. Lineage: Bacteria; Pseudomonadati; Pseudomonadota; Betaproteobacteria; Burkholderiales. The record is from Rfam by way of RNAcentral.
UGUCUCCUCCACCCUCCUCCUUAGGUGGAUUCCAACCCAGGCCUCAAGCCUGGGUUUUUUUUG